GGAGUUGUGGCUCAGUGGUAGAGUGCUUGCCUAGCAGGCACGAGGCACUGGGUUCAAUCCUCAGCACCA
This 69-nucleotide transfer RNA is filed under the name Marmota marmota marmota (Alpine marmot). It matches the Rfam family "tRNA". From Rfam's summary of the family: Transfer RNA (tRNA) molecules are approximately 80 nucleotides in length. Their secondary structure includes four short double-helical elements and three loops (D, anti-codon, and T loops). RNAcentral also lists the same sequence under 1 other name. The record is from Rfam by way of RNAcentral. Lineage: Eukaryota; Metazoa; Chordata; Mammalia; Rodentia; Sciuridae.